GAUGAACGCUGGCGGCGUGCCUAAUACAUGCAAGUCGAGCGAACAGACGAGGAGCUUGCUCCUCUGACGUUAGCGGCGGACGGGGGAGUAAAACGUGGAUAACCUACCUAUAAGACUGGGAUAAACUCGGGAAACCGGAGCCAAUACCGGCUAAUCUAUUCAACCGCAUGGUUCAAUAGUUACAGACGGUUUUGCUGUCACUUAUAGAUGGAUCCGCGCCGCAUUAGCUAGUUGGUAAGGUAACGGCUUACCAAGGCAACGAUGCGUAGCCGACCUGAGAGGGUGAUCGGCCACACUGGAACUGAGACACGGUCCAGACUCCUACGGGAGGCAGCAGUAGGGAAUCUUCCGCAAUGGGCGAAAGCCUGACGGAGCAACGCCGCGUGAGUGAUGAAGGUCUUCGGAUCGUAAAACUCUGUUAUUGGGGAAGAACAAAUGAGUAAGUAACUAUGCACGUAUUGACGGUACCUAAUCAGAAAGCCACGGCUAACUACGUG
This 497-nucleotide ribosomal RNA is filed under the name uncultured bacterium. RNAcentral describes it as "partial 16S ribosomal RNA". It matches the Rfam family "Bacterial small subunit ribosomal RNA", at positions 28 to 507 of the family's 1533-position model. The record is from RNAcentral.